CUGUAAAGUAUGAAGACUGUACUCUUCUGUGGCUCAUAAAUUGAUUGAGAAGGCAGUUGCAAAAUGCUCAUACUGAUGACAGCAUUACCGACAUAAGAGUAUAACCAUUUAGAUAGUCUGUUUUAAAUAACAUAGUGACUUGGUUUCAUUUAUGUUUUAGAUACUGACAUUAGGAUAUGUGCAGCUAAUUUGUUUAUUUAAGGUAAAAUCUUUACGGGGAAAAAAAAGAGAGAACCCCAUUACAGAACAGCUGGUGGUUCCACUGUUGAGAAAGAAAGAAGUGAGAAAAAGCCACUGUCAUCUCUCAGCUUCUCAUCCAUGCUGGAGGUCUUUAUACAUGGUCUCCUUACUGCGCACCUCUGUACCUGUCUCCACUCCUUUCUUCCUCCCAGUAAGGGACCUUCCAAUGGUAAGAGCCCUACUAUCCUAUAGGUCUCAAAUCUCAUCUAAAAUGUCACUCACUCAAACUUUAUUUCAAUAAACUAUUUAAUAUCAGUUGUUGAGUUAUAAAAUCUUUCACUUGUUUUUUUAUUCUCCAUCACGAGGAAACUCCUUGAAGGCAGUACCUGUGGUGGUCAUUUUCACUAUGGCGCCCUCACUACUCGCACAGUGCCUAGUAUACAGUAGGUACCCAAUAAAUAUUUGUUGAAAAAAUGAAAACAAAUUGAAAGCCAAAGUCUUUCUUUUGGAGUCUUGCUUUUGGAGUACAAAACACAAAAUUCCACUGGUUCUCUGGGAAUAUUUUUUUAACCCUAAAAUUCUGAAGUGGAACAAAUGAGAUUGCACAUUAAGAUCUUGAGGCCCACUUCCUUGACUACACAUGUAAGGGAGGGAAAGAUCUCUCAGGAGGAGGAGAAUAAUUAAAUAUAACAACUUAAAACUUGUAAUUCAUUGUUGGUUUGUAGUUUGGAUUUCCUGAUUGUCAACAUCACUAGUUAUACAUCGUAAAAUUGUGGGCUUCUCUGACAUUCAGUAGAAUUAUCUGUCAUCUAGUUCAUUGUUUCAGAGCAAGUGAGAAUACGAUAGAAGCACGCUAGUUAGAUUAUGCUUCUACUCUGUUGGAAAGGGUGAAAAAACAUUAGGAGAGAAUAGGACUUUAUAGUUAAUAAAUUGGAAAUAAAUAUCAAAACAGCUCAGUGUUGUUUUAAUAGUUUAUAAAGUCAUUAUCAAAACUUGCAAACAGC
RNAcentral lists this long non-coding RNA (1184 nucleotides) under Fukomys damarensis (Damara mole-rat). RNAcentral describes it as "lncRNA (ENSFDAG00000029917.1)". Lineage: Eukaryota; Metazoa; Chordata; Mammalia; Rodentia; Bathyergidae. The record is from RNAcentral.